ACAUGCAGAGAUGUAUGGUCCGAAAGGGCCGUAUACAGGUGGUGCAUGGUUGUCGUCAGCUCGUGUCGUGAGAUGUUGGGUUAAGUCCCGCAACGAGCGCAACCCUCGUUCUAUGUUGCCAGCGGUUCGGCCGGGGACACAUAGGAGACUGCCGUGGUCAACACGGAGGAAGGUGGGGAUGACGUCAAAUCAUCAUGCCCCUUAUGUCUAGGGCUGCACGCGUGCUACAAUGGCUGGUACAAAGGGCUGCGAUACCGCAAGGUGGAGCGAAUCCCAAAAAGCCAGUCUCAGUUCGGAUUGGGGUCUGCAACUCGACCCCAUGAAGUUGGAGUCGCUAGUAAUCGCAGAUCAGCAAUGCUGCGGUGAAUACGUUCCCGGGCCUUGUACACACCGCCCGUCACGUCACGAAAGUCGGUAACACCCG
RNAcentral lists this ribosomal RNA (424 nucleotides) under uncultured Actinomycetes bacterium. RNAcentral describes it as "bacterial SSU rRNA". It matches the Rfam family "Bacterial small subunit ribosomal RNA", at positions 996 to 1423 of the family's 1533-position model. Lineage: Bacteria; Bacillati; Actinomycetota; Actinomycetes. The record is from RNAcentral.